This 161-nucleotide ribosomal RNA is filed under the name uncultured bacterium. RNAcentral describes it as "partial 16S rRNA". It matches the Rfam family "Bacterial small subunit ribosomal RNA", at positions 358 to 511 of the family's 1533-position model. The record is from RNAcentral.
GGAAUCUUCCACAAUGGGCGCAAGCCUGAUGGAGCAACACCGCGUGAGUGAAGAAGGGUUUCGGCUCGCAAAGCUCUGUUGUUAAAGAAGAACACGUAUGAGAGUAACUGUUCAUACGUUGACGGUAUUUAACCAGAAAGUCACGGCUAACUACGUGCCAG